GCAGCCCAAAAAGAUGGAGGUAUUGUGAUAAAAGCUGCUAUUGUGAGAAAAUAACAUCUGAGAUUACUUUGUUAACCCAAAGUUUAAAUUUGCAUUGGUGGAGCCAGCAGAGAAGUAUCUGUCAGAAUCCCACAAGGAAAAGGACCAUGGCAUGGGAUGCAGUUUCCUUUCAAAUCAACUGUUGAAUUUAUUUCUGGCUGUGCUUAAGGAACUCAUGCUAACAGUCCAUUCAGAGGCUGAGAAACAAGGAAAGAGCAGCACACCAUAAACAAAGGUCAGGGGCAGACUGGUGCACUGUGCCCACAACCAGAGUUGCUGCUUGACACAAAUCCCACAACACUGGAGAUGGAAAUGGGAGAUGACUGGUGUUGGACCAAACCCCCUUUCUUCUGUUCAGCUUGCAUCUGCAAGAUGGGCUUCUCCCUGCACUACCACUUGCCCUUGCAAAGUGUUUGGUGAGGACAAAACACUUGCUGCUAGUGGUUGCAAAGCUAAUUCUUCACCAGGGGCUGGGACAGAGAGACCUGUCUGUCUUAUCCUAGGACUGAAAUGCAGUCCAGAAAGGAAGGAUCUGUAAUCACACUGCUGCAAAACAUCAAUAUCUGCCAGGCCACAAGAAGCUUCUGCUGCCUUGGACACCAAAUUAGAUCAAUUGGCCAUCUGGGGUGAACACAUGGAAGAACAUACAGAGAGCAGUGUGCAACAAUUAGUCUCCUAAGGGUUUCAGGAAGGAGAUUAAUCAGUAACUCCAAGAUCUCAUCUCUAACGGUAGUGCAAUUUGGAGAAGAACUUUUGCCCUUAAUGAGAUUUGCAAUCCCCAAACAGAGAAUACCCACCUAAUAAGACAGCUGCCUGUUUAUGUCUCGCUUCCCAGAGAAAAGGAGAGCUGCCCCUAUGUUGCUGCAUGUAGAAAAAGAUGGUCAGGACCUGAACACCCCAUUGUGCUACAGGGAGUGGAGCCUCAAAACUUGGUGAGCUGGCCUUGAGUCAGAGUGCUAGGCACCUUUGCUGCAGCUGUACCCUUCCUAUCAGGGGGCUGAGAGAGAGACAGAGACAGGAUCUUCUCAGGCAUGCAAAAACUUCAAAAUCCCUAGACUCUCCUUGCAGUGGAGAUGCAGACAAAGUAUGCCCCCAGCAGAAUGGGAAGUGCAACACUGGGGGUGUUGGAUGUGAAGGUGAGAGAUGGAAGCUGAUGACUUCUGGCAUACAGAGCCUGGUGUCUCCUGUCUCCUGCUCCACCUGAAGGCCUUCAACUACAGAAGUGGUUCACUGCUCUCAAGGCUGAGGAUGUGCCCUGUGUGCUUUCAAGGGAGGUGUUUGACCUAUUGCCCCUGAGGCAUGCAAGAUGACCACGAGGAAGAUGCAAAUGGCAAUAGUGGGCAGCUCCCUUCAUCUGGGGGUGCAGAAAGCUAGCUGACAACCUGACCUGUCACAUAUAGAAGUUCAUUGCUUGUUAGGCGUCCAGAUAUGGGAUGCCGUAGAGAGACUGCCAAGACUUCUUUGACCCUCUAAAU
RNAcentral lists this long non-coding RNA (1514 nucleotides) under Anas platyrhynchos platyrhynchos (common mallard). RNAcentral describes it as "lncRNA (ENSAPLG00000023777.1)". Lineage: Eukaryota; Metazoa; Chordata; Aves; Anseriformes; Anatidae. The record is from RNAcentral.